UACGUAGGGUGCAAGCGUUGUCCGGAAUUAUUGGGCGUAAAGAGCUCGUAGGCGGUCUGUCGCGUCGGCUGUGAAAUCCCGAGGCUCAACCUCGGGUCUGCAGUCGAUACGGGCAAACUAGAGUAUUGCAGGGGAGACUGGAAUUCCUGGUGUAGCGGUGAAAUGCGCAGAUAUCAGGAGGAACACCGGUGGCGAAGGCGGGUCUCUGGGCAAUAACUGACGCUGAGGAGCGAAAGCGUGGGGGAGCGAACAGG
Molecule: ribosomal RNA, 254 nt
Filed under: uncultured bacterium
Lineage: Bacteria
Description: partial 16S ribosomal RNA
Rfam family: Bacterial small subunit ribosomal RNA
Source: RNAcentral